Onychostoma macrolepis is the source of this 473-nucleotide long non-coding RNA. RefSeq lists it as uncharacterized. The transcript is spliced from 5 exons. NCBI's taxonomy places the organism in Eukaryota, Metazoa, Chordata, Actinopteri, Cypriniformes, Cyprinidae. The record is from RefSeq and is a predicted model, not a curated record.
GGACGAAUUCUUCCACCCUCACUGUUAUGUUACCAACAUGCACGUCGCCAUAUUGAAAAUGCAUUGAACCCGAGGCAUCUUCCUCGAUCCUGGACCAGGUUUUCAUCAAAAAUAUCUUAAUUUGUGUUCUGAAGAUGAACGAAGGUCUUACGGGUUUGGAGCGUCAGGGCCUUCGUGAGUGUGGAGAACUGAGGACAUCGUCUCAAGCCCCGGGAUGAAGAUAGCUUGUCAAAAUAAUAGGCCUACUUAUUUCAAAGUGGGCACGGGCUGUUUGUGUGGACGUAUCUGGAGGAUGAUGAAGAGUGAGAGAGCAGAGAAGGGAGAGAUGAGUUAAAGAGAAAGCAUGAGGCCCAACAUAAAUGGAGAGACGCAGAACAGAGCUGGUCUGGUAGUUCAUGAGAGGAUUUACAGACACCAUCUCCAGAUCGAGGACGUACUCCUUCGGUCCCGUUACUGCUCUGGCCAACACCAAC